AACGCUGGCGGCAUGCCUAACACAUGCAAGUCGAACGAGAUCUUCGGAUCUAGUGGCGCACGGGUGAGUAACGCGUGGGAACCUACCUUUUAGUACGGGACAACGUUUGGAAACGAACGCUAAUACCGUAUACGCCCUCCGGGGGAAAGGUCAGCCGCUAAAAGAGGGGCCCGCGUCUGAUUAGCUUGUUGGUAAGGUAAUGGCUUACCAAGGCUACGAUCAGUAGCUGGUCUGAGAGGAUGAUCAGCCACACUGGGACUGAGACACGGCCCAGACUCCUACGGGAGGCAGCAGUGGGGAAUAUUGGACAAUGGAGGCAACUCUGAUCCAGCAAUGCCGCGUGUGUGAUGAAGGCCCUAGGGUUGUAAAGCACUUUCAACGGUGAAGAUGAUGACGGUAGCCGUAGAAGAAGCCCCGGCUAACUUCGUGCCAGCAGCCGCGGUAAUACGAAGGGGGCGAGCGUUAUUCGGAAUUAUUGGGCGUAAAGGGCUCGCAGGCUGCUUGAAC
This 507-nucleotide ribosomal RNA is filed under the name uncultured Alphaproteobacteria bacterium. RNAcentral's name for it is "bacterial SSU rRNA". It matches the Rfam family "Bacterial small subunit ribosomal RNA", at positions 32 to 585 of the family's 1533-position model. The record is from RNAcentral. Lineage: Bacteria; Pseudomonadati; Pseudomonadota; Alphaproteobacteria.